Molecule: long non-coding RNA, 270 nt
Filed under: Phoenix dactylifera (date palm)
Lineage: Eukaryota; Viridiplantae; Streptophyta; Magnoliopsida; Arecales; Arecaceae
Description: long non-coding RNA (PDAC_LNC019646)
Source: RNAcentral
GCUUCAACGCGAGACAUCUCGGCUGUAAGAUUUUACUUUUGACGUUGUUUGGGGUCGACUCGGCGCUUUACGGGGACGACUCCGAUGAUGAACGGUUUGAAUCCUUGUUUUCCUGUUUUUCUGAGAGGGUCGCCUCGGCACUUUACGGGGACGUCUCGGCUUGGUUGCGCUUUUUGCAUGGGGACGACUCCGAUGCCUUGGGGACGACUCCGCCGUUAUAUCUCCGAAAAACAAGUCUUCUGGAAUUCUCUGAGAGAGUCGACUCCGCUC